GUAACAGAUCAGGCUUUGUCUUUGCCACAGUUUCUCCUGAGUCUCUUUGUUUUGAGUACCUUGCUCUGAUCUCCUUAGUGCAACUGCUUCUGUGAGCCUGUCCCCCUGGGAGUUUUCUGCAGCUCCAGCAUACUACUUGCAUCAGCUGUCCCCUGCCGGAUGCCCUCUGGAUUCCUUGUUUUAUCCACCCACUUUCCAAUCCAAGGACAAUCAGACUACAGAGAGUGCAAUCUCUGGUUUGGAUGCCUCACCCUUCCCUCCUUCUCUGAUGGCCACUGAUCUUGCUCCCCAUGUCCACGUAAGCUCCUGGUCCUAUUAUGCAGAUAAUCCUCUUGUGCAAUAUUGGACAAAGACAGAUGUAAUAUGGGUGAAGACAAAUGUAAUAUUGGUGAAGACAAAUGCAAUAUGGGUGAAGAUAGAUGUAAUAUGACAGAUGUAAAGUAUCAUCACUGCUUUCAAAACAAACAGUUUUUCCUGCCUUGUGCUGAAUUCUGGGGAGGGUGAGGGAAGAGUGAUUCAGGUUAAACUUGAGAAAAUUCCUGCUGUGGUGAGCACCUAUUGGUUCACAUCUGUGCCAGCACAAGUACACCUCGGUUCCCAAUCCCUGGAGCAAGUUGCAACUCUUUUAAUAAUCUUUGUGACUGUUUUGUGAUAUACAUCCGUUAAAUGCAUCUCUGCAUGACACACCUCUGUGACUCUUGUAAAGUAGACACCCCACCUGAUGGACAAGGGGAAGGAGAAGUAUGAAAGCUGAUGCAGCAUUUGACUUGCAUGCAUGUAUCAAUGACUGCUCUAAAAUUUUGCUUCUGGGUGCAGCUAAGUUGGGGAGUAAGCUGGCAAUUCAACCAAGAAGUGGGACAUGUUCAGGUGAAUGAAUGUGUUGUAGCCAAGUGAUACAAGUUUUGCCUGACUGUUUGAAGCAGGGAAUAUAUUGAAUUGGCAUUAACAAGGGUCUUUCAAAUAAAGUAUG
This is a long non-coding RNA of Hemicordylus capensis (graceful crag lizard), 970 nucleotides long. RefSeq lists it as uncharacterized. The transcript has 3 exons. Lineage: Eukaryota; Metazoa; Chordata; Lepidosauria; Squamata; Cordylidae. The record is from RefSeq and is a predicted model, not a curated record.